Molecule: ribosomal RNA, 773 nt
Filed under: uncultured Neocallimastigales
Lineage: Eukaryota; Fungi; Neocallimastigomycota; Neocallimastigomycetes; Neocallimastigales
Description: partial large subunit ribosomal RNA
Rfam family: Eukaryotic large subunit ribosomal RNA
Source: RNAcentral
GAGAGAGACAUGCGCGCAUAUCAAUAAGCGGAGGAAAAGAAACUAACAGGGAUUCCCCUAGUAACGGCGAGUGAAGCGGGAAGAGCUCAAAUUUGAAAUCUUAAAGGGUUUCCCUUUACGAAUUGUAGUUUAAAGAAGUGUUUUCUGUUGAGGUUUUGGUAAAAGUUCUUUGGAAUAGGACAUCAUAGAGGGUGAGAAUCCCGUAUUUGACCUUUACUUUCAACUUUGUGAUACACUUUCAAAGAGUCGGAUUGUUUGGGAAUGCAGUCCAAAAUGGGUGGUAAAUUUCAUCUAAAGCUAAAUAUUGGCGAGAGACCGAUAGCGAACAAGUACCGUGAGGGAAAGAUGAAAAGAACUUUGAAAAGAGAGUUAAACAGUACGUGAAAUUGUCAAAAGGGGAGCGUUUGACACCAGUGUUGUUUUUCUGAAAAUCAAUUAAAGAACUGUUUAUGCUAAGUUGUUUAGACUUUAUCAGCUAACUGUUUAGUUUUGAGCUUUUCUUUAAUGCACUUUUCAGUUAACAAGUCAACAUCAAUUUCUUUUGCUGUAAAAAAGCUUGAGGAAGGUGGCUUGAGAUUCGUCUUAAGUGUUUAUAGCCUCUUGCCUAUGCAGUCGGAGAGAUUGAGGUCUGCAGCGUAGAUCCUUCGGGGCUAAAUGCAUUUGUGCUAAGUUAUAGCAUUUUAUAGACAACUUGUUGACUAUGAUUUGUCUUGUAGCUUACUCGCUUAUGUUAUUUUACCUACGCUUAGGAUGUUGAGCGCAUGUCUCUCUCU